Molecule: ribosomal RNA, 358 nt
Filed under: uncultured bacterium
Lineage: Bacteria
Description: bacterial SSU rRNA
Rfam family: Bacterial small subunit ribosomal RNA
Source: RNAcentral
AGCGAACGCUGGCGGCAGGCUUAACACAUGCAAGUCGAGCGGGCCCUUCGGGGUCAGCGGCAGACGGGUGAGUAACACGUGGGAACGUACCCUUCGGUUCGGAAUAACUCAGGGAAACUUGAGCUAAUACCGGGAUACGCCCUUUGGGGGAAGGGUUACUGCCGAAGGAUCGGCCCGCCGUCUGAUUAGCUAGUUGGUGGGGUAAUGGCCCACCAAGGCGACGAUCAGUAGCUGGUCUGAGAGGANGAUCAGCCACACUGGGACUGAGACACGGCCCAGACUCCUACGGGGAGGCAGCAGUGGGGGAAUAUUGGACAAUGGGCGGCAAGCCUGAUCCAGCCAUGCCGCGUGAGUGAUG